RNAcentral lists this non-coding RNA (25 nucleotides) under Mus musculus (house mouse). The record is from RNAcentral. Lineage: Eukaryota; Metazoa; Chordata; Mammalia; Rodentia; Muridae.
UGGGAAUUGAAUCCAGGACUUCUGG